CCUACGGGUGGCAGCAGUGGGGAAUAUUGCACAAUGGGCGCAAGCCUGAUGCAGCCAUGCCGCGUGUGUGAAGAAGGCCUUCGGGUUGUAAAGCACUUUCAGUCGUGAGGAAGGCGGCGUCGUUAAUAGCGGCGUUGUUUGACGUUAGCGACAGAAGAAGCACCGGCUAACUCCGUGCCAGCAGCCGCGGUAAUACGGAGGGUGCGAGCGUUAAUCGGAAUUAUUGGGCGUAAAGAGCAUGUAGGCGGAUUGUUAAGUCUGGUGUGAAAGCCCGGGGCUCAACCCCGGAAGUGCAUUGGAUACUGGCAAUCUUGAGUAUGGGAGAGGAAAGUGGAAUUCCGAGUGUAGGAGUGAAAUCCGUAGAUAUUCGGAGGAACACCAGUGGCGAAGGCGGCCCCCUGGACAGAUACUGACACUCAGAUGCGAAAGCGUGGGGAGCAAACAGGAUUAGAUACCCUGGUAGUC
Molecule: ribosomal RNA, 465 nt
Filed under: uncultured Vibrio sp.
Lineage: Bacteria; Pseudomonadati; Pseudomonadota; Gammaproteobacteria; Vibrionales; Vibrionaceae
Description: bacterial SSU rRNA
Rfam family: Bacterial small subunit ribosomal RNA
Source: RNAcentral